This 484-nucleotide ribosomal RNA is filed under the name uncultured bacterium. Its description in RNAcentral is "partial 16S ribosomal RNA". It matches the Rfam family "Bacterial small subunit ribosomal RNA", at positions 30 to 507 of the family's 1533-position model. The record is from RNAcentral.
AUUGAACGCUGGCGGCAGGCCUAACACAUGCAAGUCGAGCGGAUGAAGGGAGCUUGCUCCUGGAUUCAGCGGCGGACGGGUGAGUAAUGCCUAGGAAUCUGCCUGGUAGUGGGGGAUAACGUCCGGAAACGGGCGCUAAUACCGCAUACGUCCUGAGGGAGCAAGUGGGGGAUCUUCGGACCUCACGCUAUCAGAUGAGCCUAGGUCGGAUUAGCUAGUUGGUGGGGUAAAGGCCUACCAAGGCGACGAUCCGUAACUGGUCUGAGAGGAUGAUCAGUCACACUGGAACUGAGACACGGUCCAGACUCCUACGGGAGGCAGCAGUGGGGAAUAUUGGACAAUGGGCGAAAGCCUGAUCCAGCCAUGCGGCGUGUGUGAAGAAGGUCUUCGGAUUGUAAAGCACUUUAAGUUGGGAGGAAGGGCAGUAAGUUAAUACCUUGCUGUUUUGACGUUACCAACAGAAUAAGCACCGGCUAACUUCGUG